CAGCAGCCGCGGGAAUACGUAGGUGGCAAGCGUUGUCCGGAAUUAUUGAGCGUAAAGGGCUCGCAGGCGGUUUCUUAAGUCUGAUGUGAAAGCCCCCGGCUCAACCGGGGAGGGUCAUUGGAAACUGGGAAACUUGAGUGCAGAAGAGGAGAGUGGAAUUCCACGUGUAGCGGUGAAAUGCGUAGAGAUGCGGAGGAACACCAGUGGCGAAGGCGACUCUCUGGUCUGUAACUGACGCUGAGGAGCGAAAGCGUGGGGAGCGAACAGGAUUAGAUACCCCGGUAGUCCCUGUCUCUUAUAU
This 301-nucleotide ribosomal RNA is filed under the name uncultured bacterium. Its description in RNAcentral is "partial 16S ribosomal RNA". It matches the Rfam family "Bacterial small subunit ribosomal RNA", at positions 509 to 809 of the family's 1533-position model. The record is from RNAcentral.